This 305-nucleotide ribosomal RNA is filed under the name uncultured bacterium. RNAcentral's name for it is "bacterial SSU rRNA". It matches the Rfam family "Bacterial small subunit ribosomal RNA", at positions 333 to 635 of the family's 1533-position model. The record is from RNAcentral.
UUUUUCCUACGGGAGGCAGCAGUGAGGAAUAUUGGUCAAUGGGCGCGAGCCUGAACCAGCCAAGUCGCGUGAGGGAUGACGGUCCUACGGAUUGUAAACCUCUUUUGCCGGGGAGCAAGCGUGCGUUCGUGAACGCGCGUCGAGAGUACCCGGAGAAAAAGCAUCGGCUAACUCCGUGCCAGCAGCCGCGGUAAUACGGAGGAUGCGAGCGUUAUCCGGAUUUAUUGGGUUUAAAGGGUGCGUAGGCGGACUGUUAAGUCAGCGGUAAAAGCCCGGGGCUCAACCCCGGCGAGCCGUUGAAACUG